RNAcentral lists this ribosomal RNA (254 nucleotides) under uncultured bacterium. RNAcentral describes it as "partial 16S ribosomal RNA". It matches the Rfam family "Bacterial small subunit ribosomal RNA", at positions 524 to 776 of the family's 1533-position model. The record is from RNAcentral.
UACGUAGGGUGCGAGCGUUGUCCGGAAUUACUGAGCGUAAAGAGCUCGUAGGCGGUUUGGUAAGUCGGGUGUGAAAACCCCAGGCUCAACCUGGGGACGCCACCUGAUACUGCUAUGACUUGAGUCUGGUAGGGGACCACGGAAUUCCUGGUGUAGCGGUGAAAUGCGCAGAUAUCAGGAGGAACACCGGUGGCGAAGGCGGUGGUCUGGGCCAGUACUGACGCUGAGGAGCGAAAGCGUGGGUAGCAAACAGG